Molecule: ribosomal RNA, 3084 nt
Filed under: activated sludge metagenome
Description: bacterial LSU rRNA
Rfam family: Bacterial large subunit ribosomal RNA
Source: RNAcentral
UUAAGGGCAGAUGGUGGAUGCCUUGGGUAGGAGAGGCGAUGAAGGACGUGGCGUAACUGCGAUAAGCCUCGGGAAGCCGUGUAGCAGGCUAUGAUCCGGGGAUUUCCGAAUGGGGAAACCUACUAAACAACUCAAUGUUUAGUGCUUUAUCAUUUAAGAUAAAGAGCAAACCUAGGGAAGUGAAACAUCUCAGUACCUAGAGGAAAAGAAAAAGAUGCAAAACUUUUUUAAUUUUAAUGUUUCAAGCAUUUCAGCAGUCAGCUUUUAGCCAUAAAUCUUUACGGCUAGAAAGCUGGCAGCGGAUAAUAUUAAAAAUGUUUUGCCCAUUCCUUUAGUAGCGGCGAGCGAAAAAGGAACAGUCUAAACUUAUUUGUGCUAUGCACAAAUAGGGGUUGUGGGGUCAAAAAUAUUCAUUCUUAAUUUAAUAGAAGAACAGUCUGAAAAGGCUGGCCAAAGAAAGUGAAAGCCUUGUAUUUUAAAUUAAAUAAAGAAUGAUUUUGAUACCCGAGUAUUUCGACAAAUGAGUAGGUCGAAAGAAUCUGGCAGAACUAUUCUGCUAAGACUAAAUACUCUUCUACACCGAUAGUGAACUAGUACCGUGAGGGAAAGGUGAAAAGAACCCCGGAGAGGGGAGUGAAAUAGAACCUGAAACCAUUUUGCCUACAAGGACCCAGAGCCCGCAAGGGUGAUGGGGUGCCUAUUGAAGAAUGAGCCAACGAGUAAUACUUAUCGCUUUAUCUAAGUCAUCUAAGAUGACGGAGGUAUAGCGAAAGCGAGUAUGAAUAGUGCGAAAAGUAUUUGUUUUGAAGCUUGAAACAAAUGCUUAAAGCGAUAAGUAAUGACCCGAAGCCAAGCGAGCUACCCUUGGACAGGAUGAAUCUUGUAGAAAUACAAGAGGAGGUCCGAACCCGUGAGCCGUGCAAUACUCUGGGAUGAUCUGAGGGUAGAAGUGAAAAGCUAAUCGCGCUUGGGAAUAGCUGGUUCUCCUCGAAAUAGCUUUAGGGCUAGCGGUUGCCGUAACUUUUUUGCAGGUAGAGCACUAGUUGAGACAGAUAGGGAGAAAUCUCGCUGCCUCAGUUAAACUCCGAAUGGUAAAAAAGUUGGCAACUAGUCAGAGUGUGGGGGCUAAGCUCCAUGCUCGAAAGGGAAAGAACCCGGACUUCCAGUUAAGGUCCCUAAAUUUUGACUAAGUGUUUAAGGUAGUAAUCAACCACAGACAGAUAGGAGGUUGGCUCAGAAGUAGCCAUCCUUUAAAGAGUGUGUAACAACUCACUAUCAGAAGUUUUGCAUUUUGCAAAACUUGGUUGGUUGCGCUAAAAAUGAAACGGGGCUAAGUCAAAUACCGAAACUGAAGAUAUCAAUCUUUGGAUUGAUAUGGUAGAGGAGCAUUCUAUAUGCACUGAAGCAGUAGUUGUAAAACGCUGUGGAGCGUAUAGAAGAGAAAAUGUUGGCAUGAGUAACCUACAAUCCUGAUGAAAUAUCAGGAGGCCGAAAACCCAAGGUUUCCUACUCAACGACAAUCGGAGUAGGGUUAGUCGGUCCUAAGCUGAUGCCGAAAGGCGCAAGUGAUGGACAGCUGGUUAAUAUUCCAGCACUUCAGUUCCUUGUGAGGGAGGGACAAAGUAUAGUAGAUGAAGCAUUUUAUUAGAUUAAUGUCUUUUACUGAGGACGCGUGUUUGGCAAAUCCGGCACGCUGGAUUAAAUUCCAAGUCUAAGGAAAAAAGCGAAGCUCUGUAAUUAGGGCGAAGUUCAUCGAGCAUGCUUUCGAGAAAAGCUUCUAAACUUAGAGGAAUUGAAACCGUACCAAAACCGACACAGGUGGGUGAGGCGAGAAGCCUAAGGCCAACGAGUGAUUGGUCCCUAAGGAACUCGGCAAACAAGCUGGGCGUAAGUUCGCAAGAUGCCCUCCCUGUUAAAUUCCGCGCAAGCGGAACCAUUAACAGGGCGCAGCUAAAGUUUUUCUGGCGACUGUUUACCAAAAACACAGCUCCCUGCAAAAUCGUAAGAUGACGUAUAGGGGGUGAAACCUGACCGAUGCGAGAAGGUUAAAACCGGCGGUGAGAAAUAUUUUAUUUCGAGCUGACUGGUCGAAGCCCUCGUCAAUGUCGGCUGUAACUAUAACGGUCCAAAGGUAGCGCAAUUCCUUGUCAGGUAAGUUCUGACGCGCAUGAAAGGUCCAACGACUGGAAAACUGUCUCAGGGACUAGCUCGGUGAAAAUGCGAAUCCGGUGAAGACGCCGGGUACCUGCGGCAAGACGAGAAGACCCCGGGAGCUUUACUGUAGCCUGGUAUUGUUUUAGGGGUUAGGUUGCGUAGUGUAGUGGGGAGGCGAUGAAUUCUAGCUUUCGGGCUAGAAGGAGCCGACAAUGAAACACCCAUCUUCCUAAUUUUUAAAACUAAUUUAAAAGGAAAAAACUUUUAAUGACAGUGCUUGGCGGACAGUUUUUGUGGGGCGCAAUCCUCCUAAAAAGUAACGGAGGAGUUUAUUAAGGUCAGCUUGCUCCGGAUGGAAAUCGGAGUGAAAGUGUAAAGGCAAAAGCUGGCUUAACUGCAAGAGUGACAACUCGCGCAGAUGCGAAAGCAGAACUUAGUGACCCGAUAGCUCUUAAUAGAAAGGCUAAAGACAACGGACAAAAGCUACCCCGGGGAUAACAGGCUGGUGAGGUCCGAGAGUCCACAUCGACGACCUCGCUCGGCACCUCGAUGUCGGCUCACCACAUCCUGGGGCUGGAGAAGGUCCCAAGGGUUGGGCGGUUCUCCCAUUAAAGUGGUACGUGAGCUGGGUUCAAACCGUCGUGAGACAGGUUGGUCUCUAUCUGCCGUAGGCGUUCGAUACUUGAAAGAAGCUGUCCAUAGUACGCAAGGACCUGGAUGGACGCACCUCUGGUGUACUGGCUUUCCUGCUAAGGGAAUCGUCAGGUAGCUAUGUGCGGUUUGGAUAAGAGCUGAAAGCAUCUAAGCACGAAGCCAUUCUUAAGAUAAGGUAUCGUUAAGAGUGCUAGUAGACUACUAGCUUGAUAGGCGUUAGGUGUAAGAACAGUAAUGUUUUUAGCCAAGACGUACUAAAACUCGAAAUUGCGAACA